CAUAUCAAUAAGCGGAGGAAAAGAAACCAACAGGGAUUGCCUCAGUAACGGCGAGUGAAGCGGCAACAGCUCAAAUUUGAAAUCUGGCUCCUUCGGGGCCCGAGUUGUAAUUUGCAGAGGAUGCUUCGGGUACGGGUUCCUUCCGAGUUCCCUGGAACGGGACGCCAUAGAGGGUGAGAGCCCCGUCUGGUAGGACACCCAGCCCGUGUGAAGCUCCCUCGACGAGUCGAGUAGUUUGGGAAUGCUGCUCUAACGGGAGGUAUACUCCUUCCAAGGCUAAAUACCGGCUGGAGACCGAUAGCGCACAAGUAGAGUGAUCGAAAGAUGAAAAGCACUUUGAAAAGAGAGUCAAAUAGCACGUGAAAUUGUUGAAAGGGAAGCGCUCGCUACCAGACAUGGGUUCGGCGGUUCAACCGGGGCCACGCCCCGGGGCACUCCGCCGGCCCAGGCCAGCAUCAGCUUUCCGUCGGGGGCAAAGGCGUCGGGAAUGUGGCUCUCCUUCGGGGGAGUGUUAUAGCCCGGCGUGUCAUACCCUUCGGGGGGCUGAGGUACGCGCUUCUGCAAGGAUGCUGGCGUAAUGGUAGCUAGUGAC
RNAcentral lists this ribosomal RNA (592 nucleotides) under Gibellulopsis nigrescens. RNAcentral describes it as "eukaryotic LSU rRNA". It matches the Rfam family "Eukaryotic large subunit ribosomal RNA", at positions 39 to 648 of the family's 3401-position model. The record is from RNAcentral. Lineage: Eukaryota; Fungi; Ascomycota; Sordariomycetes; Glomerellales; Plectosphaerellaceae.